This 206-nucleotide long non-coding RNA is filed under the name Elaeis guineensis (African oil palm). Its description in RNAcentral is "long non-coding RNA (EGUI_LNC022586)". Lineage: Eukaryota; Viridiplantae; Streptophyta; Magnoliopsida; Arecales; Arecaceae. The record is from RNAcentral.
GGGCCACCUGCCAUUAGGUCCGCAUGAACCAGAGCAAAUCUCGAAGCAUAUGCACGAUGGAUGGCGCGUAAUCGAAACUUCAGACUCAAGCCCAGCUUCUAAUCGGAUUGGACUUCGGGCUCGAGCUCGGGCCGGGCCUGGGCUAAGCUAAAGGUCUGCCCAAGCCCGGCCCAAAGGAAAAACGAGCCCUAGUUUCCGAUCCGAAC